ACGGAGGGUGCAAGCGUUAUCCGGAUUCACUGGGUUUAAAGGGUGUGUAGGCGGGUAAUUAAGUCAGUGGUGAAAUCUCCGGGCUCAACCUGGAAACUGCCAUUGAUACUAUUUAUCUUGAAUAUCGUUGAGGUUGGCGGAAUAUAUCAUGUAGCGGUGAAAUGCAUAGAUAUGAUAUAGAACACCGAUUGCGCAGGCAGCUGGCUAAACGAUGAUUGACGCUGAGGCACGAAAGCGUGGGGAUCAAACAGGA
RNAcentral lists this ribosomal RNA (253 nucleotides) under uncultured prokaryote. Its description in RNAcentral is "partial 16S ribosomal RNA". It matches the Rfam family "Bacterial small subunit ribosomal RNA", at positions 525 to 777 of the family's 1533-position model. The record is from RNAcentral.